Harpegnathos saltator (Jerdon's jumping ant) is the source of this 848-nucleotide long non-coding RNA. RefSeq lists it as uncharacterized. The record is from RefSeq and is a predicted model, not a curated record. The transcript is spliced from 2 exons. Lineage: Eukaryota; Metazoa; Arthropoda; Insecta; Hymenoptera; Formicidae.
UCAACGAGUUGUCGAUAUUGUAACGCCCGUGAUCUGUUUGCGACUUUUGAUUAAGAAAAUAACGUGUCGAUUCCGCUGAUCGAACGCUUCAUCGAAAUAUCGACAUUAAAAAUGAAGUUUUCCAUGAAAGUGUUGCUCGCGUCGGCGUUGUUAAUCUUGAUCGUUUUAUCACCAGCGAUUUGUGAAGACGCGGAAAAUGAAGACUACGAAAACUACGAUGAUCCAUGGGGUGGUGUAUGGAACAGUACACAUUCUGGUUUACCGAAUAUAACUCAUACUGACGGUCAUAUCAUAAGUUUUCCAGAUAUAUCACAAAAAUGCCCAGAAAAUCAACGGCCAGACAAAGAUGGGAAAUGUCGAGUAGUAGAAUAAUUUUAUUCGCUAAAGUGCGAAUCUCGUUAAGCCUAGGUCGCUAAAAGACUGGUUAUUCAAGGAUAAAUCGAGAAGAAUGACGGACAAAAUGGGAAAAAUAUUAAUAACUGUGAUAACAACGCUGUAAUAGCGAUUUUAUUAGAUUAUAAUUUAUUGUGUCUAUGUAAAAGACAUUGUUCUUUUUUGAAACCAUCAGAUUCACAGUUAUAUAUAGUAAUAUUUGGCGAAUUGCAGUGAAAUAUCCCGAUUUAAAGUACCGCAUGAGAAUCAUGUUACAUAUUUAAAAAAAAAGUUUGCGCACUUACACACAUCUUAUAUGUAUAUAAGACGAUAUCUUCCUAAAAUCCUACAUUCGUUAAGUUAUCUGAUGCUGGUACUCGACGAGACACUCGAGACAAUUUCAAAUGACAUAAGGACGUAUGCAUUAUCUUUAUACCAGAUAUUUCCCUAUUAAAAUACAUAUUAAACAAAACGUU